CAACCGCUUUUCUUUUCUGCUCACUAGCUCUUGAGAGAGAAUUGGGGUGCAGAAAAUGGAAUAGGUCUUCUCUCUUUAUAGGGGAAGGGAUGGCAUAGCUUUAAAGCUAAGUUAUUAGCUUUCUUCUGAAGCUAAGGGAGGAGAUAAACCUGUUUAAAUAAGCUGGAAUGGAUUUGGUGUUGAUCCAUAUCUGAAAUUUGAAAGGAAGUUGAAGAUGAUGCUGAACUGGUGUUAUCUUCUGCACCUGUUUCAUAUUUUGGCUCUAACUUUCUGCUUAAAAUUCCAAUUGAUUCAAGAUUGGUUUUUUUUGAAAGGAAAUUCAAUUCUCUGCAACGUUUCCAGAAAUAGAGAAAACCAAAUUUCAAUGUUUUGCAGGCCAAAAAUGCGAUUCCAGUUGCUGCUGAAAAUACAUCAGGUGUAGGUGCUGUGGUUCACAACGAGAAUGGGGAGGUUAUGGCUGCACUAUCGGCGAAAGGGGAUGCAGUGGCUAAUAGUGAGGGGGCCGAGGUGUUGGCAUGUCGGACAGCUUUGGAAUUUUCUGUGGAUGCUGGUUUUUCGGAUCUGAUCAUUGAAGGUGAUAACGCGACUGUGAUGAAGACUAUCUCAUCAGCACAACAUAAUUUGUCUCGACUGGGACUGGUUUAUGAGGAUAUUCGUUGCAUUGUAGCAGGUCUUCGGUCUGUGUCUUUGAGUUGUGUCCAUCGUAGUGCCAACUAAGUUGCCCACUCUUUACCUCGUUACACUAGCCUAAUAGAUAAUGACAUUGUAUGGAUGGAAGAGUCGCCACCGCCAGCCACUGAGGCUUUGUACUUGGAUUUUAGAUUUUCUAAUGAAUGAAUGAAGGUUGUUUUCGGUUUCAAAAAAAAAAAAUUAUUUUGUUCUAAUGUAAUUCCUUUUUUCCCCUC
Molecule: long non-coding RNA, 905 nt
Organism: Quercus robur (English oak)
Lineage: Eukaryota; Viridiplantae; Streptophyta; Magnoliopsida; Fagales; Fagaceae
Exons: 2
Source: RefSeq, a predicted model, not a curated record